UACGAAGGGUGCAAGCGUUACUCGGAAUUACUGGGCGUAAAGCGUGCGUAGGUGGUUUGUUAAGUCUGCUGUGAAAGCCCCGGGCUCAACCUGGGAAUGGCGAUGGAUACUGGCAAGCUAGAGUGCGGUAGAGGGUAGUGGAAUUCCCGGUGUAGCGGUGAAAUGCGUAGAGAUCGGGAGGAACACCAGUGGCGAAGGCGGCUACCUGGACCAGCACUGACACUGAGGCACGAAAGCGUGGGGAGCAAACAGG
This 253-nucleotide ribosomal RNA is filed under the name uncultured bacterium. Its description in RNAcentral is "partial 16S ribosomal RNA". It matches the Rfam family "Bacterial small subunit ribosomal RNA", at positions 524 to 776 of the family's 1533-position model. The record is from RNAcentral.